GUACCCUCCAGCCCUGCUGGGUGUUGGGCGUUUUGUUCCGCCGCGCGCGUGAACUCGCCUCAAAUACAUUGGCAGCCAGCCGUCCCGCGUGGGAGCGCAGCACAUUUUGCGCUCUCCGCUGGGUGCGGCGGCGUCCACAAGCCUAAUUUUUUAC
This 154-nucleotide unclassified non-coding RNA is filed under the name uncultured Pleosporales. Its description in RNAcentral is "sequence contains ITS2". Lineage: Eukaryota; Fungi; Ascomycota; Dothideomycetes; Pleosporales. The record is from RNAcentral.